RNAcentral lists this ribosomal RNA (225 nucleotides) under uncultured bacterium. RNAcentral describes it as "partial 16S ribosomal RNA". It matches the Rfam family "Bacterial small subunit ribosomal RNA", at positions 97 to 339 of the family's 1533-position model. The record is from RNAcentral.
GGCGAACGGCUGAGUAACACGUUGGAACCUACCCCGUACUCAGGGAUAACUCACCGAAAGGUGAGCUAAUACCGGAUGGUCUCGAAAGAGUAAAGAUUUAUCGGUACGGGAGGGGCCUGCGGCCUAUCAGGUAGUUGGUAAGGUAACGGCUUACCAAGCCUAUGACGGGUAGCUGGUGUGAGAGCAUGACCAGCCAGAAUGGGACUGAGACACGGCCCAUACUCC